Molecule: ribosomal RNA, 544 nt
Filed under: uncultured Pseudomonas sp.
Lineage: Bacteria; Pseudomonadati; Pseudomonadota; Gammaproteobacteria; Pseudomonadales; Pseudomonadaceae
Description: bacterial SSU rRNA
Rfam family: Bacterial small subunit ribosomal RNA
Source: RNAcentral
GUGGUGGGGUAAUGGCUCACCAAGGCGACGAUCCGUAACUGGUCUGAGAGGAUGAUCAGUCACACUGGAACUGAGACACGGUCCAGACUCCUACGGGAGGCAGCAGUGGGGAAUAUUGGACAAUGGGCGAAAGCCUGAUCCAGCCAUGCCGCGUGUGUGAAGAAGGUCUUCGGAUUGUAAAGCACUUUAAGUUGGGAGGAAGGGCAGUAAGUUAAUACCUUGCUGUUUUGACGUUACCGACAGAAUAAGCACCGGCUAACUCUGUGCCAGCAGCCGCGGUAAUACAGAGGGUGCAAGCGUUAAUCGGAAUUACUGGGCGUAAAGCGCGCGUAGGUGGUUUGUUAAGUUGGAUGUGAAAGCCCCGGGCUCAACCUGGGAACUGCAUCCAAAACUGGCAAGCUAGAGUACGGUAGAGGGUGGUGGAAUUUCCUGUGUAGCGGUGAAAUGCGUAGAUAUAGGAAGGAACACCAGUGGCGAAGGCGACCACCUGGACUGAUACUGACACUGAGGUGCGAAAGCGUGGGGAGCAAACAGGAUUAGAUAC